Molecule: non-coding RNA, 3894 nt
Organism: Phalacrocorax carbo (great cormorant)
Lineage: Eukaryota; Metazoa; Chordata; Aves; Suliformes; Phalacrocoracidae
Source: RefSeq, a predicted model, not a curated record
GCCCCCUGGAAAAGAGAAGGAAACUAUAGAUGUGGGUUUAUGUGAUCUCUGGCGGGAAGAGGAGGUAAUACUCCAUCAACAUGCAUCACCGCAAGGACAAGAGAGAACACAGACAAAUCCAAAAAGUUGCAAGAACACUUCGCUAACAGAGAAAGGAGAUUGAGAAGAUCAGAUCUGAGAGACAAGUUCAAAACUAUGUGUACCUGUACCAGCUGACACCGUAUUUGAGUGUUCAUGCUAGAGGCUUCUUGGAGAGAAGAGAAACUGCCUGAGCCAUGCUCCAGGGGUCCUGAUAUCUUGCACUGGGACAUAAAAGUGAACAGUGGUUUCUGACCUGGGAUUCCACAUUGCUCAGAAUUUGCUCAGUGAAGCCUGCAGGAGGGAGCAUUCCUCUUUUUCACCAAGGCAGGCCACCCUCCCUACUAACAACUGCCUCAAGAUGCCCAGGAGGGGCCACAGUCCUUGAACUCAAGCACUUCUGUUCAGAGCACAGACUAUGAAGCUAUGAGGCUCAAAGCUUCCAGUGAGUCCAGGAGAAUGCAUUUGAAUCCCUGUUUGUCAGAGCAAUUUGAGGUAGACAGUUUCCUCUCUAGCUCCCUCAUCACGGAUCAUGAAUGUGCUGCUGUGGACAUGCCAGACAGAAGUACAGGAGAUAGGCCCAGGCUGUACAUCCCAAUUGGAUUGGAAACCAACCUGCAGCUGGCAGAGAUCUUAAGGACAAGAGAGGAGUAAGCAUGAUCUCCAGCAGGGCUGGACAUAGACACAGGGUUUCACUGUAAGAGGAAGUGGAGGAGCAUUUAAAACCCUGCAUGUUCAUAGUCAUUGCCAGAAGUGGAUGGUCAGAGUCAUUGCUUGAGGAAGGCUGACUGCAGAGUAAGAGAUGACCCAAAUUCCCACUGCCUGACAGCGGAUGAAAUGCUCAAGGAGACUCUGCAGUUGCCCCAAAUGCAGGUAAGAUUAGUUUAGUGCACUUACAGCAUGAGGAAAAGCUGGGAUUCAGAAAAUACAUUGCCAUCUGACAGAUUUAUCCCAGCGCGUACUCUAAUUCCACCUUUGCUCAGACUAAUAGACUUAAAGAGCAGAGUUUAUCUCCCUUUAAAGGUCAGGGCUGAACAUUCCUAACAUUGGCCACACGAUUUAGCACCUUCAGGUAGCUGGAAUAACAGCAGGUACAGUGAGUACAGCCACUGGAGGGGAGGCACACUCCUCACAGACACUACAUUACACAAACACAGAGACUUUUCAGCUAGGAUGCAGUUACCCCAAAUUUCUCUGCACAGAGCAACUACUGCUCUACCUACCACAGUGAGGGAUUGCUUUCAAUUGACUCCGCUCUUGAUUUGAUGGCUGCUGCAAGGCCUUUCCCAAUAGGGAAUCCUUUUCUUGCCAACUCAAUGCUGGGCAGAAACAGGUCUUUCCAUGCCAGUUUGCCAUGGCGUUUGUGAGCCAGUUCAUACCCACGGAUUUCUCCUGGAACAGCAAUGGACAGGCCUCCUGGAGCAGAUAAGGAACGUAUUAGUCUUCCACAGCAAAAAAGGAAAGUAAAUAAUGGAGCAGGAGGUAGAGCAGGCUUCUGUGUCAGCCAUGUUUUGAGGCAGAGAUUACAUCUACUACGACUAGCUCAGCUUAUACAUACGAUGCUAACAGGAUUUUUCUGUCUGACAUUUAUGCCUAUGUAUUCUGGACUGUUGGAACACCUCCAUCCUCUUGCUGGUAACUCAGGUUUUUGGGUCAUUUCCCCUCACUAGGUUCUGUUCCAGAGAAGAGGUGCUCAGAACACAGAAGCUAUCAUAGCUGCCUGCAGUUUCCAAUCAAUCAGAGAACACACAGGAGGACACAGACUGCAUACAAACUUAAGCCAAAAACUUUGUUGUAGCACGUAACUGCAAUUGCAAUGGAUUGAUUACUACAUUGCACAGUGAUGCAGCAGUUUGCUUCAAUCCUGUUUUUAUUGGCAACUCCCAGAAGUUCAACACACUUAAACCUCCUCCAAGGUGCUGUUCCUCCUUGGUUACAGGAGUGACCAUGAAUAGCACUAGUUAGUACUUCUUUCUGGUUUUGGUUAUAAAUACUUCCCUGAAUGGAAAUCACUCAUUCUCUGGAGCCCUUGAACCAUUAGUUGAAGCCAUCACAAAAGUUAUUUAGGGACAACACUUGAACUGACAAGAACUAAAUUGAUCCACAAAAGAUUUAUUCAAAGAGGUGGAAAGGAAAGAUGGCAGGCAUGGAACAGGUCAUACUCAGGGCAUUGGAUUCACCUGCAUUUUCAUGAAGUAAAAAGCAGAAAGUACUGAGGUGAGCGACUAGUUUGAAGGACACUAUUUUUAGCUUCUUUGUCAGGACAGAGUUUGCAAAUUCUUUAGAUGACAUUUCUAGGUGACAAAUCCUGUAGAUAUGCAAGAACAUAACAAUAUGAAAUGUUCUUAAUUCAGACAUGUAGCAGCUAAUGUUGGAGCUAUGCAGUCCCCCCAAAGCAGUGAAACAGCCUUUGCCUUACCUUUCAGAGAGAGCUGUGUGUUGUUCCCAAACAUGUUCUCCGAUGCUUUUUUUGGAGCCACCUCUCUUGCAUUAAUGAUUUCCACUUUUCCUUUAACAACAGAGCAAGGAAGAUGAUGUUUAGCUCUGGACUCAACACACAGGCAUGGUCUCUGCUGAAGAAGCCUGAUCAAUGUGAGCCAGUUUCUUGGCAAUUAUUCUGAGGACAGCAUGUUCCCCCAGGGGCUGAGAGUCAGCCUUUUACCUUCACUCAGGUAGAAAAAAUCACCUGCUUUAGAUAAAUAGUUCUCAAGCUGUUCCAGAUGUGUAUGGCCCUGUCCCUUACCUGUGCUGCUGUAGAUGGUAAAGAAGAGGCCUCCUCCAAUGCCCAUGCUGUGAGCAUUCAUGAGUCCUACACAAAGCAGGGCUGCAAUUGCAGCGUCCACUGCUGAUCCACCUUGCUGAAGGAUGUCCCUGUGCAGCAAAAGAGAAGGCAUCAUAUGGUGACAUGACACAGUGUCUCAGCUACCUAUAAGCAGUUGAGUCAUCUCAUCAGAGCAGCUAUGGCAGAGUAUCUAAUCCACACCCAGUCUAUAGGUUCCUCAAGAAUAGGAAGGUUUGAGCUCUGUCACCUUAGAGGAUACAUCCUAAUGGUCUAGAUGCAGAACAGAUCAGCCUCAUUAAAGACACAUCCAAACUAGCUUGAAAACACUUGAGAUGUGUCAAAGUAUGUUUGGGGACAGGCAUCCCAGACACAUUCAUUACAUGUGAGAAAUGGCAGCUGAGGAGCCUGAAAUCUGCAGCACUUGCGUCUAGAACCGGAGGACAGCUUGAUAAAUGGUUUUUAAAUGGAGCUUGAAAAGCAUGUCUUGUUCCCAUUGUUCAUGCACCUAGGGGAUCUUUGCCUGUGCAUGGUUUUAGCUGGGAUAGAGUUAAUUUUCUUCCCUGCAGCUGGCAUAGUGCUGUGCUUUGGACUUAGUAUGAAAAUAGUAUUGAUAACACACCGAUGGUUUAAUUGUUGCUGGUUAGUGCUUACACUACUCAAGGACUUUUCCAGCUUCCCAUGCUCUGCUGGGUGCACAAGCAGCCGGGAGGGGAGGGGGCACAGCCAAGAGAGCGGAUUCAAACUGGCCAAAGGGAAAUUCCAUAUCAUGUAACAUCAUGCCCAGUACAUUGGCUGGGGGAAGCUGGCUGGGGGACACCGCUAUCGUGACUCAGGAAGCGGCAGCGCCAGUCAGCAGGUGGUGAGCGGUUCCAUUGCUUGUGGUAUUUUUUCUUUAUUUUUUAUUUCUGGGCUUCAUUUCUCUCUUGUUAUUUUCCUUUUUAUUAUAUGAUCAUUAUUAUUAUAAUUAUUAUUAUUAUCAUUACCAUUAUUACUAUUACUAUUUUAUUUAAAUUAUUAAACUGUUCCUAUCUCAA